RNAcentral lists this transfer RNA (75 nucleotides) under Trichonephila inaurata madagascariensis. It matches the Rfam family "tRNA". Rfam says of the family: Transfer RNA (tRNA) molecules are approximately 80 nucleotides in length. Their secondary structure includes four short double-helical elements and three loops (D, anti-codon, and T loops). Further hydrogen bonds mediate the characteristic L-shaped molecular structure. tRNAs have two regions of fundamental functional importance: the anti-codon, which is responsible for specific mRNA codon recognition, and the 3' end, to which the tRNAs corresponding amino acid is attached (by aminoacyl-tRNA synthetases). tRNAs cope with the degeneracy of the genetic code in two manners: having more than one tRNA (with a specific anti-codon) for a particular amino acid; and 'wobble' base-pairing, i.e. permitting non-standard base-pairing at the 3rd anti-codon position. The record is from Rfam by way of RNAcentral. Lineage: Eukaryota; Metazoa; Arthropoda; Arachnida; Araneae; Nephilidae.
AGUUCCGUAGUGUAGUGGUUAUCACGUUCGCUUCACAUCGCUGAAAGGUAUCCGGUUCGAUCCCGGACGGAACCA